This 468-nucleotide ribosomal RNA is filed under the name uncultured bacterium. RNAcentral's name for it is "partial 16S ribosomal RNA". It matches the Rfam family "Bacterial small subunit ribosomal RNA", at positions 28 to 507 of the family's 1533-position model. The record is from RNAcentral.
GACGAACGCUGGCGGCGUGCUUAACACAUGCAAGUCGAACGGAAAGGCCCUGCUUUUGUGGGGUGCUCGAGUGGCGAACGGGUGAGUAACACGUGAGUAACCUGCCCUUGACUUUGGGAUAACUUCAGGAAACUGGGGCUAAUACCGGAUAGGAGCUCCUGCUGCAUGGUGGGGGUUGGAAAGUUUCGGCGGUUGGGGAUGGACUCGCGGCUUAUCAGCUUGUUGGUGGGGUAGUGGCUUACCAAGGCUUUGACGGGUAGCCGGUCUGAGAGGGUGACCGGCCACAUUGGGACUGAGAUACGGCCCAGACUCCUACGGGAGGCAGCAGUGGGGAAUAUUGCACAAUGGGCGGAAGCCUGAUGCAGCAACGCCGCGUGCGGGAUGACGGCCUUCGGGUUGUAAACCGCUUUCGCCUGUGACGAAGCGUGAGUGAAGGUAAUGGGUAAAGAAGCACCGGCUAACUACGUG